AUGAACUGUUAGGUGAGACUCCUACGUGAACAUAUGCUAUCGCCCGGAAACAUCCAGCCAACGAGUUAAAUAGUUUCCGUCGACAUAAGGCGGUAACCAGAUAGCUAGCUUUAAGCUUACGUUGCGUAGUGUUAAAACUGAACGAUGAGUA
This 151-nucleotide small RNA is filed under the name uncultured Lactobacillus sp. RNAcentral describes it as "M-box riboswitch (ykoK leader)". It matches the Rfam family "M-box riboswitch aptamer (ykoK leader)". Rfam says of the family: M-box riboswitch, also know as ykoK leader is described as a metaloregulatory RNA that sense divalent metals and function as a genetic control element of genes related to divalent metal transport in bacteria. It was first reported upstream of the B.subtilis ykoK gene and genes with related functions in other bacteria. Phylogenetic analysis of the distribution of M-box RNAs across bacterial genomes revealed that M-box riboswitches are most often employed for the regulation of Mg2+ transporter genes The record is from RNAcentral. Lineage: Bacteria; Bacillati; Bacillota; Bacilli; Lactobacillales; Lactobacillaceae.